RNAcentral lists this ribosomal RNA (252 nucleotides) under uncultured bacterium. RNAcentral's name for it is "partial 16S ribosomal RNA". It matches the Rfam family "Bacterial small subunit ribosomal RNA", at positions 524 to 776 of the family's 1533-position model. The record is from RNAcentral.
UACGAAGGGUGCAAGCGUUAAUCGGAAUUACUGGGCGUAAAGCGCGCGUAGGUGGUUUGAUAAGUUGAUGGUAAAGCCCUGGGCUCAACCUGGGAACUGCAUCCAAAACUGUUUGACUAGAGUACGGUAGAGGGUGGUGGAAUUUCCUGUGUAGCGGUGAAAUGCGUAGAUAUAGGAAGGAACACCAGUGGCGAAGGCGACCACCUGGACUGAUACUGACACUGAGGUGCGAAAGCGUGGGGAGCAAACAGG